GAAUCGGCACUGACGAAGAAGAGUACUUAAUAAAAACCCUAAAGAGAGCUGAUGGUUGGUGAGAAUCAGCGGGAUAUUUUAUUAAGGAAUGGACUUCUGAGCUCCAAACCGAACCGUUAACUGAAGUAGGCCUUGGCGAAUUCGUCUCUCGUUAUCGAGACUAAGUAGAUAAUUUAUUAUCUUACUUUCAAAGUGAGCUGAACUUCAGCUAAUAAAGGUGGUACCACGGUCCCUCGUCCUUUUU
RNAcentral lists this non-coding RNA (244 nucleotides) under Oceanobacillus iheyensis. RNAcentral describes it as "T-box sequence". It matches the Rfam family "T-box leader". Rfam says of the family: Uncharged tRNA acts as the effector for transcription antitermination of genes in the T-box leader family. T-boxes are found upstream of many aminoacyl-tRNA synthetase genes and some amino acid biosynthetic genes usually in Gram-positive bacteria. Lineage: Bacteria; Bacillati; Bacillota; Bacilli; Caryophanales; Bacillaceae. The record is from RNAcentral.